AGCCCAAGCGGUAGAACACACCAAAAUGCAAAUUUGGAGACGUACCCNAUAAGGUGCCGGGGCUUCUCCCGUCUUACGUUAAACGGGAGAAGC
Molecule: transfer RNA, 93 nt
Filed under: Cyrtodactylus cf. pubisulcus
Lineage: Eukaryota; Metazoa; Chordata; Lepidosauria; Squamata; Gekkonidae
Description: tRNA-Cys
Source: RNAcentral